GACGAACGCUGGCGGCGUGCUUAACACAUGCAAGUCGAACGGAACGUCCCUGCUUUUGUGGGGUGCUCGAGUGGCGAACGGGUGAGUAACACGUGAGUACCCUGCAAUUGACUGUGGGAUAAGUUCAGAACACUGGGGCUAAUACCGGCUAGGAGCUCCUGCUGCAUGGUGGGGGUUCGAAAGUUUCGGCGGUUGGGGAUGGACCCGCGUUUUAUCAGCUUGUUGGUAGGGUAGUCGCUUAGCAAGGCGACGAUGCGUAGCUGGUCUGAGAGGAUGAUCAGCCACACUGGGACUGAGACGCGGCCCAGACUCCUACGGGAGGCAGCAGUGGGGAGUAUUGGACAAUGGGCGAAAGCCUGAUCCAGCAAUGCCGCGUGAGUGAUGAAGGCCUUAGGGUUGUAAAGCUCUUUUACCCGGGAUGAUAAUGACAGUACCGGGAGAAUAAGCUCCGGCUAACUCCGUG
Molecule: ribosomal RNA, 463 nt
Filed under: uncultured bacterium
Lineage: Bacteria
Description: partial 16S ribosomal RNA
Rfam family: Bacterial small subunit ribosomal RNA
Source: RNAcentral